UAGAAAGCACUAGAGGGAAUUAGAUGUUAC
RNAcentral lists this non-coding RNA (30 nucleotides) under Mus musculus (house mouse). Lineage: Eukaryota; Metazoa; Chordata; Mammalia; Rodentia; Muridae. The record is from RNAcentral.